UGCUUCACAUCUCCUGGGAAGCUGAUAUGAGAAUCAAAAAGGUCCACUUGAGGAAUAGUGGAAAGUCUUCCAGACACCUACUACGAGUUUCCUACUUGAUCAUCUUCAUCAGUAAAUAAGAACAAGGGCAUAAAACUUUGGCCAUUGCCAUGAAAUGGCAAAAAUGUUCAGGGCAGUUGAGUUGAAGGAGGUGUGUUGAAAGUUACUAACAAGGAAUCAGAAGAGUUAAGUUACACCACUGCAUGAGUCAGUUCUGGCUCUAUUCAGGUUGCGGAACUAGGAAAACUAGUUGUCAGUCCUGAGUAUGUACAGAUAGGACUAUGACUGAAAACUAUCAAGGUAGAAUUCUGGAGAACAUUAAUCAGCAAGGCAAAAACCAGAUUUGAUUUUUUAAAAAUCCCAACUAAUUGCACUUGAAGAAAUGUAGAAGAGCAGUCACUUACCUAGUUUAUGGUAAACGUUCAUUGCCUUGGAGUGAGGAUGUCACCAGAAGCCCCCUUGGUACAGUGUCUUGGAGGAUUCAUUUAAGACUGAUAGGAGAAAGCAGCACCUUCUUGAUUUCACCCACAUGUGUAACAGGCACAUGGAGGAGGGAUAUGAUGCCCUGCUCACACUAUUGCCACUUUUGCCUAUUAUCUUGGAGGAACAACAUGAAAGCAAGUUUCAGAGGCAGUAUGAUGCUGAGGAGAUGAAUAGGAGAAUGCUAUUGCACUGAUGUCCCAUUUGUGUUUCUCCAGGAGCAUCUGGUUGGCCACCAUAGGAACGCUAUGUUGGACUACAUAUCCUUUCCAUGUUGCAAAUGAAGAAAUGGUGAAUGUGCUUGCACAAGCUACUAUGCGGCUACAGCAGAGAUAGAGACAGUUAGGGCUUCCUCUUAUAUUCCCUAUGGUUUUGUCUGCUCUAUUGCUUCCUUGUCUAAUGGCCUGGACUAAGGGAAGAGCUUCAGAGACAAAAUUCCACUACCAUGCUGAGACCACUCAAACUAUUCAUCCCCACAUACAAUCCUAUGCAGCCAGAAGUCUAUAUGAUUUUAUUAGGUCUGUCCUCACUUUUACUCAUCCCAGCUCUUGUGCAAUCGUUAUCUUAGGCAUGUAGACUUUUAUAGCCACAAGACCCCACCAUCCUCUAUGAAACAUGUACUUACCAAGAUAAAUACUUUGCAUUUAAUUUUUAGAUUCUAUGGAUUACAAUCCAUUUCCUCAGACAUACAAAGUGAAAUAUUUUCAUGAGGAAACAAUCAACAAAAAUGAUACUGAAAUAAAUCUAUUAGUUUUUGAAAUGCUACAAUACAGUGGUGUCUCGACUUACGAACUUCCCGACAUAGGACCAUUUUGGGUUACAACCAGCUCCAGCCGCCAAAUUUUGCUUCGACUUGCAGCCAG
Molecule: non-coding RNA, 1382 nt
Organism: Pogona vitticeps (central bearded dragon)
Lineage: Eukaryota; Metazoa; Chordata; Lepidosauria; Squamata; Agamidae
Source: RefSeq, a predicted model, not a curated record